Non-coding RNA from Chrysemys picta bellii (western painted turtle), 213 nucleotides. Lineage: Eukaryota; Metazoa; Chordata; Testudines; Emydidae. The record is from RefSeq and is a predicted model, not a curated record.
GUAGCUGCCACAGGUGUCCUCUUGGGCUCUUCUACUGGAUUUCUCCAGCCAGGAGGGAUGCGCCAGCAGGUUCUGCAUGGACAUGUGGAAACUCUUCCUCAUGGCAAUACUGGCAGCCAGCAGUGAGGGAUCAGGGAAAUUAUUCUCCUUGAAGGCAAAACAUCUCCUUGGAAACUCGUGAAAAGCCCUUUCUGCUCUUUCGCAGUUUUGACC